RNAcentral lists this ribosomal RNA (464 nucleotides) under uncultured bacterium. Its description in RNAcentral is "partial 16S ribosomal RNA". It matches the Rfam family "Bacterial small subunit ribosomal RNA", at positions 28 to 507 of the family's 1533-position model. The record is from RNAcentral.
GACGAACGCUGGCGGCUUGCUUACCAAAUGCAAGUCGAACGUAAGGUCCUUUUCGGGGUACACGCGUGGGCAACGGGUGAGGAAACCGGGAGUUACCUUCCCAAUACCUUGGGGUAACGGUUGGUAACUGGGGCUAAUACCUGAUAAGUGCUGCUUCUUCAUGGUUGGGGGUGGAAAGGUUCGGUGGUUGUGGUUGGACUGGCGGCCCAUCCGCCUGUUGGUGGGGUUAGGGGCUACCAAAGGAGGGGCGGGUAGCCGGGCGGAGAGGGUGGGCGGACACAUUGGGCCUGGGGAACGGCCCAGGGUCCUGCGGGAGGCAGCAGUGAGGAGUAUUGAACAAUGGGCGCAAGCCUGAUGCAGCAACGCCGCGUGCGGGAUGACGGCCUUAGGGUUGUAAACCGCUUUCAGCAGGGACGAGGCUUUUUGUGACGGUACCUGCAGAAGAAGCACCGGCUAACUACGUG